RNAcentral lists this microRNA precursor (102 nucleotides) under Marmota monax (woodchuck). Lineage: Eukaryota; Metazoa; Chordata; Mammalia; Rodentia; Sciuridae. The record is from RNAcentral.
AGUGGGAUAGCUGGGUCAAGUGGUGGUUCUGUUCCAAAUUUUCUGAGGAAUUUCCACACUGCUUUCCAGAGUGGUCUCACCAAUCUACAGUCCCACAGCGAU